RNAcentral lists this long non-coding RNA (211 nucleotides) under Physcomitrium patens. Its description in RNAcentral is "long non-coding RNA (PPAT_LNC006844)". The record is from RNAcentral. Lineage: Eukaryota; Viridiplantae; Streptophyta; Bryopsida; Funariales; Funariaceae.
AACCCUCUUGUUUAGAUUUGCACUGCAACGCAACUCUAGACGCGCAUCUCAACAUUGCACAUCAACAAAAACUGUCUGGAUCUAGGAUUCUCCAUGGUAGUCUCAAAAUGAGUUCCUCAACAUUUUUGCCGAAUCGUUCACCUGCGUAGGGCGUCGAAAAUGCAAGCAUGUGUUUGUGCGAGAAGGUCCAGCAAUCAUCGGGUUGGAAAUA